This 253-nucleotide ribosomal RNA is filed under the name uncultured bacterium. Its description in RNAcentral is "partial 16S ribosomal RNA". It matches the Rfam family "Bacterial small subunit ribosomal RNA", at positions 524 to 776 of the family's 1533-position model. The record is from RNAcentral.
UACGAAGGGGGCGAGCGUUGUUCGGAUUUACUGGGCGUAAAGGGCGCGCAGGCGGCUCAUUUUGUCAGGCGUGAAAGCCCCGGGCUUAACCUGGGAACUGCGUUUGAUACGGAUGGGCUAGAGUUCGGGAGAGGAGAGUGGAAUUCCCAGUGUAGAGGUGAAAUUCGUAGAUAUUGGGAAGAACACCGGUGGCGAAGGCGGCUCUCUGGACCGAGACUGACGCUGAGGCGCGAAGGUCAGGGGAGCAAACGGG